UAUGAUGUUGGUCAAAGUGGUGGGU
RNAcentral lists this non-coding RNA (25 nucleotides) under Bombyx mori (domestic silkworm). The record is from RNAcentral. Lineage: Eukaryota; Metazoa; Arthropoda; Insecta; Lepidoptera; Bombycidae.